Molecule: ribosomal RNA, 229 nt
Filed under: uncultured microorganism
Description: partial 16S ribosomal RNA
Rfam family: Bacterial small subunit ribosomal RNA
Source: RNAcentral
GAGUUUGAUCAUGGCUCAGGAUGAACGCUGGCGGCGUGCCUAAUACAUGCAAGUCGAGCGAACAGACGGGGAGCUUGCUCCCCUGACGUUAGCGGCGGACGGGUGAGUAACACGUGGGUUAACCUACCUAUAAGACUGGAAUAACUCCGGGAAACCGGGGCUAAUGCCGGAUAACAUGUUGGACCGCAUGGUCCUACAGUGUAAAGACGGUCUUGCUGUCACUUAUAGG